This 266-nucleotide ribosomal RNA is filed under the name unidentified marine bacterioplankton. Its description in RNAcentral is "partial 16S ribosomal RNA". It matches the Rfam family "Bacterial small subunit ribosomal RNA", at positions 71 to 339 of the family's 1533-position model. The record is from RNAcentral. RNAcentral also lists the same sequence under 1 other name.
AGCACGUCCUCGGAUGGUGGCGACCGGCGCACGGGUGCGUAACGCGUAUACAAUCUGCCUCUUACUGCGGAAUAGCCCAGAGAAAUUUGGAUUAAUACCACAUAGUAUUAUUGAAUGGCAUCAUUUAAUAAUUAAAGAUUACGGUAAGAGAUGAGUAUGCGUUCUAUUAGCUAGAUGGUAAGGUAACGGCUUACCAUGGCAACGAUAGAUAGGGGCCCCUGAGAGGGGGAUCCCCCACACUGGUACUGAGACACGGACCAGACUCC